This 253-nucleotide ribosomal RNA is filed under the name uncultured bacterium. Its description in RNAcentral is "partial 16S ribosomal RNA". It matches the Rfam family "Bacterial small subunit ribosomal RNA", at positions 524 to 776 of the family's 1533-position model. The record is from RNAcentral.
UACGGAGGGUGCAAGCGUUAUCCGGAUUCACUGGGUUUAAAGGGAGCGUAGGAGGGCAGGUAAGUCAGUGGUGAAAUCUUUGGGCUUAACCCGAAAACUGCCGUUGAUACUAUCUGUCUUGAAUAUGGUGGAGGUGAGCGGAAUAUGUCAUGUAGCGGUGAAAUGCUUAGAUAUGACAUAGAACACCGAUUGCGAAGGCAGCUCGCUACACCUAUAUUGACUCUGAGGCUCGAAAGCGUGGGGAUCAAACAGG